Molecule: ribosomal RNA, 273 nt
Filed under: Enterobacter cloacae subsp. cloacae GS1
Lineage: Bacteria; Pseudomonadati; Pseudomonadota; Gammaproteobacteria; Enterobacterales; Enterobacteriaceae
Description: partial 23S ribosomal RNA
Rfam family: Bacterial large subunit ribosomal RNA
Source: RNAcentral
AAUUGAGGGGGGCUGCUCCUAGUACGAGAGGACCGGAGUGGACGCAUCACUGGUGUUCGGGUUGUCAUGCCAAUGGCACUGCCCGGUAGCUAAAUGCGGAAGAGAUAAGUGCUGAAAGCAUCUAAGCACGAAACUUGCCCCGAGAUGAGUUCUCCCUGAGACUUUAAGUCUCCUGAAGGAACGUUGAAGACGACGACGUUGAUAGGUCGGGUGUGUAAGCGCAGCGAUGCGUUGAGCUAACCGAUACUAAUGAACCGUGAGGCUUAACCUUAC